GUCCCUCUCAUGUGCGCUGGCCGACCCUGCCCUGCGUUCGCUGCGCGCUAUAUGUGUGCGGGUUAGUGAGAGAAAGGGCGGCAAAGGGCCGUAUUGGAAAGGCGCUGAUCACGUUUGUGGCUAAGCAGUUUGUAUGGAUCUCCUUGCAGAUCCCGUAGGACUCCUUUGGCUGUCGUCCCAUCAGAACUCCUCUCUUCAAGGAGAGACGGCUCGAUGGUGCUCAGAUGGAGAGAGCGCUGUCAGAGGAGUGGCAUGUGACUAAUCAGGUCUGGGCUCGGCUCCCUGCUUCCCAAACCCUAUUCUGCUGAUUCAAAAGGCCACUGAGACUCCGUGGUAAUGGGAAAGCAUGAUGGGAAUCAGAGAAAGUCGAGAAGUAUCGCAGCUGAUGUAGCUUUCCUUGGCGUCUGACAUAAUAUGGGAAACAAUGACUUCAGUGGUUUAAUUGAGGAAAAUCCAAACGCGGUGUGAAGUUGCUGUGUUUUCGUGGCUCGGUGUAGGAGCUACCAACAAGCAGUUUUAUAUGCUGAAUCAGUGGGCAAGAAGGAAGAGCAAAAAAGAAAAAGAAUCCGAUGCCUAUUCCGAAGUAUUACCCUGGAUCCUGUCAGGGAAAAACUGACACAGGCACAUUUCACAGUGAAUGGCACUUCUCUUCCACCACACUGGUCAGAUCACUCAGAGCAACAUAACAGUACACAUCUACCAGGCCUCCUCUGAUCUCUCCCAGGAAGGAGACAACACUUUCAUAUCAAUACCCUGUCAUCUCACAAUGUGGCAUCUUCCCCUUUGAAGGUACAGUAGCGUUGUUACUGUUGCUCAGAUGUGAAACUCUUUCUUAGCUUUUAUCAUCC
Long non-coding RNA from Astatotilapia calliptera (eastern happy), 848 nucleotides. Lineage: Eukaryota; Metazoa; Chordata; Actinopteri; Cichliformes; Cichlidae. The record is from Ensembl.